UAAAGCUAAAGUCAUCACACCUA
RNAcentral lists this non-coding RNA (23 nucleotides) under Arabidopsis thaliana (thale cress). Lineage: Eukaryota; Viridiplantae; Streptophyta; Magnoliopsida; Brassicales; Brassicaceae. The record is from RNAcentral.